This 12827-nucleotide long non-coding RNA is filed under the name Lupinus angustifolius (narrow-leaved blue lupine). Its description in RNAcentral is "long non-coding RNA (LANG_LNC003008)". Lineage: Eukaryota; Viridiplantae; Streptophyta; Magnoliopsida; Fabales; Fabaceae. The record is from RNAcentral.
UCCAAUCAAUUUUAAAAAAAUAAACUAUACACAUGUUAAUAAAUAUGGUAACAAGAUGGGUAAUAUAAAAUUGAUAGAAUAUGUAAUGCAUGAAAAAGGAAACAAAAUUAAAAAUAAAAUAGAGAAUAAAAACAUAAAAGAGAAGAAUUGUAAUUAAAAGGGGAUCACCCCUGUUCAGAAAAAUAAAAGAGACCUAAAAGGGAUCUAAAUCCCUAGCUUCUCCUUUUUAGCGGCAGAAACCCAUCUACGCGGAGGGAGGUGAACGGCGACGGCAAACUGAGGUGAAGGUGAGUUGUUGUGGCGCGAGUGGCGGAAGGAGUUGUGCCACCCAUGGUUGCGGCUCUGAAACCGUGGGUUUGGGACAACCGGACCCAAGAGAGGGUGGUCCACGUCUGGACGGAGUCUGGCAGCGGCGGCAGAGCGACGCGAUGGCUGGCCAACCAUAGCUUCUUCAGGGUCAUGCGGGUCGUCUUCUUCCUCUCUUGGGUAUAGAUCUGGUCAUGGCUGGAGGUAGGAGAACCUCCUUGACCAUGGCAGGAGGAGCCGACGGCUGGCCCUCAUCUUCUCCUUCUCCGGUCGCACCGCACAAGAUGCGGAUCCGGUGACCCAUGGGUUCAUAACCCAUUUGUUCAAAUGCUAUAAGCAAAGCUUUUUUUGGGUAAAGGGGAGUCACAUGGGGAAACCAUAUCCCUCAUAUAUUGCCAAGAUCUCAUAAGAAUCAUGUUCUAUUUUAAAAAAAAUUGUUUGUGCAUGGAAUUGCUUGCUGGAUUUUUGUUAAAUGAGUUUGGAGAAUAGAAUACUUGAGUUAUCCUUAGAUUUUAGGAAAAGAUGACUACAAAAUAAUAUGUAAACAUGUAGAUUGUUUUAACUUUAAGUGAAUGCACAAUACUUUUGUUGUUACUGAUUCAAACAUUCAUCUUGAUGAAUGAAAUAAAACCCAAAAUAAAUAAAUGUUACAGAACUAAAAGCAUAUACAUGAGAUGUUUUGAAUGCUUGAACAUAAAAAAACAGAGCCUAAAGAUGUAAAAGGACACUAACCUUUUAGAAUGACUAAUGUAUUUUCUCUUCCUUUUUAGCACGUAUAUCUUCUCCUCCUCCCCACUUUUUUUGUAUUCUUUUCCAUAUCUCUCUACCUUUUUCAGUAUCUCUUUUUUUUUUUCUUUUUCUCUCUGUACCUUUUUGCUCUCUCUCUCUCUCUUUUGUCAAAAUGUUGGUGUUCUCCUCUCCCUUUUUUUAACCCGUGUGUUCCUCCUUUUAGAGAUUGACAUUAGCACCCACUCCUCCUAUAACUUAGGUAACCAUCCCACUACCAGAGAGAAAAAAGGGAAAAAGGGAAAACGUCACCCACUAUUUCCCAUCUUUUACUAUUUGAAAUGUAUGAAAAUACUAUUAUAUUUUUUAUUUUAUAAAUCUUUAUAUUUAUUUUCUGAAAAUAUAUUUCGAUAGUAAUAAAAAGACUUUUAGAUCUUUAUGGGAGGGACAAAAAUAGGUAUUUAGAUAUGUAAAUAAGAAAGAUUAUAUUGUUAGGUUGAUUUUAGCCCAAGUUAUUAGUUUCUAAGAAUAUAUGGGUUAGUUGGUUAGUUAGUUUUGGUAUUAGGUUAGUUAGUUUUUCCUUCCAUUUAUAUAGAUGGUUUAAUGUAAUUUUGUAGAUUAUCUAUUCAAUAUUCAAGGAAUAAAAUUCAUAUUCUAUUUCUGCUCUUGAUUUUUAACAUGGUAUCAGAACAAAAAUAAUUAUUUCUUCCAUCAUCAAUAUUACUUCAAGAAACUCAGUAGGAAAUGUUGAAAUUUUUCUAAGCUUCUGAAUAUUGCUUUUGAAGAUCCUACUAACCUUAGCUGAGAAGAAAAUAAUCAAUAGAACUACUCAAAGAAGAUUUAUUGGAAGAGUGCAUUGCCAUCAACCACAACCCUCAACAACAUUACUUCUAUUGGUGCAGAAUUUAAUAUGAAAGAUUCUCAUUGCGUUCUAGUUCUUUAGGUUUGGCUUUUUUAAGAUUCUCAUUAAUUUUUCAUCCAAGACUCCAGACGAGUUCUUGAUAGUCUUAGAACUUGAGGUUGCACUAUGUUUUGGAGACAAACAAUUACUUCCUAGCUUUGAAAGUCAAAUGGAGUAGCUACAUCUUUGGAAGUCUUUAACAUUAUCCUCAAAAUGCAAUUCUCGUGUAGACUGUUCUCACUAUCAUAAUAGAAGCAUUGUCUUUAUCUCAUCUUUUUUUCUUGAAAUUCAUUGGGGAACCAUUGAUCAUUCAAAACAAUUAUCUACACAUGAUAGCAAAGCGAUCUUUCUUGUGAAAAUCCAAGAUAAUAUAAAAGGGGCACAAAAUAUUGUUGCAAGUAGCACAUGAUGGAACAUGUUGUGUUUCUAUCUUCAAAAGUUAUAUUGAAGAUAUUGUGUCAUGGACUUAAGAAAAAUAUCCAAGUUCAUUGGGGACUUAAAUCUUCCACAGCAGCCACCACCUGUGUUUGGUUCAAGUAGUGAAAGUAACUACAAAUUUGGAAACUACACAUUAGGAUCGAAGUUUCGAUCUAUUUUUCUUUCUUUUAUCAUUAAUGGUUGUUGGUUUGCUUCUGUCCAUGGUGGUUAAGCAAAGAUAUAGUUUCUGCCAUGGAUGGUUAAACGUUUGAUGAUAUAGCUUCUGUCAUAGGUGGUUAAACGUUGUUAUUGCUUCAAAUCAAUUCCAAGUUGGGAGUUUAAAAUUUUCACUCUUCAGCUUGAGGGGGAUUGUUGAAAUAUAUUGUAUCAAUGUAAAUAAUAGCGUAUGUGAAUAUGAGAGAUUAUAUUGUUAGGUUGGUUUUAGCCCAAAUUAUUAGUUUCUAAGAAUAAAGGGUGUCACGCCCCGAUUUUCGACCACGCGACCUCUUAGAGUUGCCACUAUAUUUUAUGGUAAAAAAUGUAGAAAAAUAUUUAAAACCCAAUCACAUUGGGCUUUUGGAUUUUUGAUAUCCAGGUUCGGGAGUCGAUUACGAAUUGAGGAAUGUACUAGCACCUCGUUCGCCCGUAAUAAACGAUACUCUAACUAAUUGCAUAAAUUAACUACCCUUAACUUAUUAAAAUUAAAUUACUUAAAACAAAAUAUAUUCUUUUAUUUUUUGUGUCUGACAAGUUCAUAUUGCUCCUACAUAUCCCUGACUACAAUAGGGAAAUCUAGACUACGUAAUUUUGGUUGAAAAUGGGUAAGUUGGUUUGAUUAAAAGAUUUAGAAAUGUGUUUGAAUUUAAUUGAAGUGAGACUAAUAAACGAAGAGUCAACAUUUAUUUCUUACCCUAUUCCCACUUCGAUAGAUAGUAGAAGAGUACAAGUGACUGCAACCGGUUUUUCGGCUCAAAGCGAAGAGAAAGACACAAUACGAGUUGUAACCUCAUCAUUAUAUUCCAAAAAUAAUUAAAACAUUUUACUCUUAGAUAACUUAGAUAUUUUUAAAGUGAGAAUUAAUAAGUGGAGAGUCGACAUUAGUCAUUAAUCAUCUUCUUACUUCGAUAAAUAGCAGAAGUUGUAUAAGUAACCACGACCGAUGCUCGACUCAAAGUAAGAAGCAAGAUAUGACACGAGUCAUAACCUCACUAUUACAUUCUCAUUGAAAUAAUUUUAUUUAAUAAAGAGACAAAACUUUUAGUUUUAAAUAUAUUUUUAUUAAACUCAUUUGAUGCUAAAUUUAUAUGAUUAAUAAGCAAAAAUUAAUUGGAUGAGACCAUUGCCUUAAAAUAACCAAACAUAUAAUAGGUAAAUAAAUAAAUAAAUAAGUAAGGAAUAAGUAGUAAAAAACUUAAAGAGGGGUAACACAAAGUUACACCUAUUAUGCAUAACACAUAAUAAAGAAAAGGGAAGAGGGAUUGAAUCCCUAAAUUAGCUACUCCCUUUUCUUCCUCCAGCAGCGUCAACUAAACAAGGCUAGGGGAGGAGAACAUCGACGACUAUUAAUGGUGACGACGGUGGUGCCAUUCAUGACCCCAACAGCGAUAGAGAUGUGUGUCCUCUUCUGGACGCGACUUGGCUGAGGGGGUAGCACCUUUGGUGACCCCGACAACAAGGGUGGAGGAGCCAUGGCUGUCGGUUGGCUCCGGUCAGGCUUCCCGUCCAGCGCUCUUCUGGACGAAGGUGGCGAACGUCAGGGACGUCCAGACCAUGGACGUGGAGGUGCAGCGGUGAGUACUCCUAUGUUGGUCGUGCCGGAAGAGGUAAACGACAUUAUCGGUUGUCGGAGCAUGUUCUCUGGUUUUCAAAAGACUCCCUAGGAUUAUUGUGGCUUUAUUUUUUUACAUUAUCAUGGACAUAUGGAGAUGAUUGUGAUUCUGUUUUUUUAGAAGUUAAAAUGAUGUUCAUUGAUUCAAUUUAUUUGUUAUUUUUAUUUGUUCAUUAGAGAGAAAAUUAUUGUUCAUGAGUUCCAGUGUUAUAAGAUGUAAAUCAACAGCAUAAUAGUAUACAAAUGUGUUUCUGUUAACGACAUUUAGUGACUAUCAUAUGGAGGUAUAGGUAUUAUGAAUCUCAUUGAUAUAUAAAGUAUGAUGUUGUGUGAGAAUCGUUAUGAAUGCAAUAAAUCCGAAACAAAUUACCAUUGUGUAUAGACAUUGAGGAGCCUUUACUGUUUUGGAUGUGAGUAAUUAUGUUAAAAGUAAAAGUAUAUACAUUGAUGUUUUGAAUGCUUAAAUGUGAAGAAAAUAUAGAGAUAUGGAUGAUUGUUGCGAAACUAAAGAUGUGUAGAUAUUUGAAUGCUUAAACAUAAAAAAUAUAGAUAUGAAUAGAUAGAAGGACAGUAGGACAUUAACCUUUUCGAAAAGCUACUUUAUUACACUCUUUUUUUAAGCAAGUAUGUCCUCUUCUCUACUUUUUGUGCCUUUUUACUCUGCGUAUUUUUUUCAUUAUACCUUUUUUUUUUGUCUUUUGCGCUCUUUCUCUCAGCUUUCUCUCUUUUCCGGUGUCCUCUCUUUUAUGCUCUAUGCUUUGUGUUAUGUGUUUUUGUUCUUGUGUCUUUUUUUUUAUUCUGAACUAGUAGGAUACCCGUGCAUUCCCACGAGUGAUAAUGUAUCUUGCAUGGAUUUAUUUAAAGAAUAAAAACAUGAUUUGUUAAUGAAAAUAUUAUUGAGUUAUGUCAUGAAAAAUGAUGUUCAUGUAUUUGAUUGUUGAUAUAGAAUUGUUGACAACAGAGAUGAUAUUAAAUGUGUUAUAUUAAAUAAAUAAAUAAUUGUUAUGAAGAAAUGUUUGGAAUGUAAUGUAAAAUAAGUUGUAGAAUAUAUGUUAUAGAUUUCGGAAAACUUGUUUACAAAUCACAUUUGUUAUUGUCUUAAUGGUUGACUAUCAUUAUCAUAUAUCAAUUUCUUCAAUCCCUUUUUCUUUGAACUAUUAAAAUAGCUAUAUACAAUUGACCAUGAAUGAGCAUUGGUCUAGAUAAAUAUAACUCCAUAUUUUCUAAUGACUGACAUUGAGAUUUAUUGAUUAUCACAGCAUAUGAAAUAAUUAUAGGGAAUUAUCUUAUGAUAAAAUGAAAAGACCAUGAAGAUUGAGAUGAAGACAUCCAAGGAAUAUAUAUGAUAUUUCCAAUAUAUUUUGUGACGUGAUCUUUGCUUCAAGUACAUGAUUUGUCAUUUUAGUGACAACCAAUCUUUUAUAGUUACAUAAUUCUUCAUAUUGGUCUAAUUUCCUAAAUAACAUUCUUGAAGUUCCAACUUUCAACUUGAUCUUAUGAUUGCCAAGGCAUAAGUUCUUCAUAUUGGUAUAAUUUGUCAGAUGUUGUAAAUGAGUUUAGAAAUUCAGGAGUUAGUGUAUUGAAUGUUUCACUUUCAUUAUCACCAGAUAUAUCAACUGAAUAUGAAAUCAAGUAUUUCUUUUCCUCACCUAUAGUUAUACAUCAGAACAUUUAUUAAUGUAACUUUAAUAAAUCUAUUAUAUCGAACAUAAUGAAAUUUACAUAUAACUAAAACAAAUUCACCUAGAAUUAUACUCAUAACAUAUUCAUUGAUUUGAUCAACAAUCUCAAUUGUUGAUGCAAGUAUUACUCUAGAUUGUAGAAAUUGUUAUCAAUAACAUUUUUCUUAUUGGUGCUAGUUUGGGUAGAAUCUAUUCAUAAAUUCUAAAUUCAUUUUUGUUAUACAUCUCAGUCAUGAGAUGUAAUUUAAAUGGUUUAAAUUGAUUUUUUUUAAAAUUGAAAUUUUUUGCUUAUAGGAAUGCAUAUUUUUUAUUGACCAAAAUUUCCCUUUUUAAGGACUGACAAAUUUUUUAGAUGUUCAAAUAAUUCGUUUCAUCAGUCUAAGAGAAUAACAAAAUGAUAAUAGAUGAUGCAUAAGUUAUUAUUACUAUGUUUAAAAUUUUGGAAGUACAAUGCAAACUUAACUUUUUUGACAUUCGUUUCUCUGGAUUCAGAAAACUAUAAGCAAAUGACUAAGUGGUAUUAGGACCAACAAUAAUUUCACUAUCUUAAAAUAAAAUAAUAAAAUAAAUUUAAUUAUUUAUUUUGUGCAUCCACACAAAAUACUAUUUAUUAUUGAUUAUGAAUGAGUUUAUUGUUGUCGGUCUCAAUUGUUUAGUAAUCAUCCCUAUUAAUCAAUGAUAACUUUAUAAAAUAAAAACCUAUAAUAAUGAUUGUUUAAUAAAGACAAUAUGUAGUGUCAAUAACAUUGAUCACUAUCGAAAAUGUCAACAAAUUAAGUAGAACAAAAAAUAUUGAUAAUAUUUGAUAUUGAUAUAUUUAUUGACAAAAUAGAAUAGAACAUUUGGAGUAAGGACAUCAACAACCACCAAAAACAUAUAUUUAUUAGGAGCUUGAUAGCCAUAGAAUGAAUAUGGACUAUUUUUUGCUUCCUUUUCUGACUUGCUAUUAUGGUCAAUCUCUUCUUAAAACGUAGAUGGUCUAUGGGGCAAGAGCUCCAUUUAUCACCAUAACUUUCUCAUUUGAUAAGAUAAUUUUCUAUACUUCACAAAAAUAUAUAGAGAGAGAAAAUAUUAUCAAGAUUUUUUAAAACUUUGACAUAGAAACCAACAUUUGUUCACAGUAGUGACAAAAUAUGUCUUUAUCUGCAGACAAUUCAAGCUACCUUUCAAUAUGGUUCUGCAUAAACAAAGUAUUUAUGAUAUAGUCAACCAAUAAUAAAAUGAGAAAUUUUUUUGAGAAGAGACAUGAGAGAGGGAAGACAGAAUGAAGGAAAAUGAUCAUAUAUAUCAAAUUAACAAACUCAAGAAAUAUCCAUGCUUUCUGUCCUCUGUUUUGAUUGCACUAUCUAAAAUACCCCUUGAUUUAACACUUGAUAAGGAUUAAAAAAAUGGUUAAAUUUAUAAUUCAUUGAAUAUAAUUAUGAGCUAUAACUAACAAUGAAUGUUAUCAAUGAUAAUACUUUACAACACUUUAUGUUGUAUAACAAUACAGAUUGAAGACAUGAUUAUUAUCUAACUAAAGUAAUAUUUUACCAAAGCAUUGUCAAGUGCAAUAAAAACAAAAGCAUGAUAAAAUUGUCAAUUAUGUAAUCAAAUGAUUGAAGGAAAGAUGAUUUAGCUAUUUGUGUCUCAUCACAAAGUGCAUGAAAGAAUAAGAUGGACAUGAUCAAACCUCCAUUUUACUCUACCACCAAAGAAUAUGUGCUAUGUGCUUUCAUGAAAAUGUGACUUGAAUGUUGAUUCAUAGAUACCCUUCUAGCAUUAAAUCUGAAGGUAGCUCCCUCUGUACUGAUUUACUAUUCCUGAAGUUCUCCUAAGCAAAGUUUUCCUUUUAAGUGGUCAGCUUCUUCCUAGAGUUCUCUUGUUUUGCCAGGCAACAACAAUAUGUCUAUAAAGAGCUGGGGAAAUGAAGCAGAGCAGUAUAAAAGUACCAUAACAACACAAAGUAACAUCACAUUAUGAAAACCAUCCUUUAGCUCUAGCACAUUUUGCCUUUUCAAUGGAACACCUCCAAUAAUCAUGGCAAAAGAAUGCAAUCAAAGUCCAACAAUCAAACAUUAGUUUAUACUUUUAGUCCCAAUAUGUGACGCUCGUUUUCUAACUUGGUCCCUCCACAAUGUUUCCCCCCUUCAAUUUAGUCCCUAAAUGUAUAAUUAUUUGUAAAGUAUAUGGACCAACUUGAAAAUGGUUGUCACGUAUAAGGAUCAAAGUGAAAAUGAUUAUCACACACAGGUCAAAAUGUAUAGGUUUGGUCUUUAUAUGGACAAUCAUUUUCAAUUUUAGCCUUAUACUUUAAGGAUUGAAUUGUACUAUAAUGACUGCAUUGAUUUUCUCUUCUGUUUUUUUCCGGAACAGAGACGACCAAAGUGUACUUUAACAUUGUUGCUUACAAUAAAUAAUAAAAAAUUAGAAUCCAGGUGCACUUGCUAAUGUAACUAUCUGUCUCUUGUUCCAAGAGACAACUGAAUUCUAAACCAUGGAUCCUGUGGAAAGAAAAUGAUCACUGCCAAUUGGAUCUAUAAUGAUCUAUACAUGGAAUAUAAGAAAGUGAAAUGUGUGGUUUUAAGGAUUUAGGAGUUCUCUUGAAAGGGAUAGUUAUUAAUAGUGGUUUCAACUUUUUUCUAUUUUCUUACUUGAAUACAUUUUUAUUUUAUUCUUUCACAUUGCUGAAUCUUAAGUUUUCAACAAACAGCCAAAGAUUGCAACUUGCAAGAGAAGGUGUCAUUCAUUGAAACAAUGGCAACUUCACCAUUAAUAAUAUAAAUGAGAUAGAAGUCUAAUUUUGUGAGUCAUAAAAGGCUGAAGUUUAUAUAUGAGGAUUGUUACAACUUUAAGCAUACCCUCUAACUAUCAUGAGGAGUUCUUUGUCUUCCAAUUCUAUAACAGCAGAAUUUAGUAGUUUUGAAAAAGACUAAUUUCUACAAUGGUAUCAAGCACACUAAAUUGGCUAAAUAAGAUCUAAUCAGGUUCUAAAAUAAAAAAAUUAAAAAGUAUCAGAUUGCUAACCUCCUUCAAGCCUACGUUCUCAGAUUGCUAACUUCAUUAUGAUAAACCCUACCUUCUCCUUCAACCUCUUUAACCUUCCAAUUAGUUCUUCAAGGGAGUUAAUGUCUUCAUUGGUAAACCAGUUUUUUUGAAGAGCAUUUUUCUUUGACUCAAAUAUAUUUGCUCUCCAUAGGUAAUCACCUGAAUACAAUUGAGACAAUGUAAGAUCAAAAGGAAGUUUAGUAAGUCCAUACAAUAGAUUUUAUUUUAUCACCUAUUUGCAUUGUUAUCAAAAGAAUUAACAUCUCAAACCAUAAUAAAAAACUAAACAUAAUGACGUCAAAUAAGUCACUUUAUCUACUGUAUGUUUAAACUCUAAAAAUUAAACCGACAUAAUUUAAAGAUUGUAACAACAUUUAAGUUUCUAGUAUAAAGUAUGAACAACAAAUAUAAAACCAUUUAAGUUUGGUUAACAAUAAUAUCAGAGCAUGUAAGAAGUUCAUAUGCUUAACUAUGAAAAUGUGUGAAUGGGAGAGCUUGUAGUUGGUGUACAAUAGCUCUAAAAAUUGAAUCUAUCAUAAAUAAAGCUAAAAAACCAAUCUACAACUAGGAGAACCCUAUGGUUAAAGGAUCAAAAUAAGCUUUUCAAUUCACUCCAUGUGAGAAUCAUGGAACAAAUACAUGUGUGGUCUUGAAUGAAUUUUCUAGUCAAAGUUGAAAGUCUUAAAUAUUAAUAGAAUAAAAAAAUAAAUUACAUGAUAAAAAAAUACUUUUAAAUCAUCCUAUAAAUAUACUCUUAAAUCAACCUAUAAAUCUUUACAAAUCACAAAAUAACAUUAAAUACAAUAAAAAUGACAUUAUGACAAAAUGUAUAAGUUAUGGGUUGAUCUUAUAAGAAAUAAAUCAUUUUUUAUAAAAUGAUAAGAUAUUUAUAUCAAAAUGACUAACCUAAGUGUUGUGAUGGCUCAAUGACGACGCCAACGAUAAUAGCUUCGGCGUGUGAUGUAAAAAUGUUAUCUUGAACUCAUACAAAAAAGUGUUAUCUUGAACUCAAAAAAUCAAAUAAGCUUCAUCCGACAAAGAACCACGUUCUAUAAGAUUUGAUGAUAAAGAAGUGUAAGAAUAAAUCAUACCUUUGAACAAAGAACCCAUCGAUUGGUUUCACGGAAGAAGAAGUUGUGCAUAUGAUGAAGAAAGAAGUUUGUAGAAGAAAAAAAUGUUGAUGGUUUAAUGAAUCUCAUAUUUGAAAAAUGGAGAGUGAGAGGCUGAAAAUAAAGAGAGUGUGUGUGAAAAUGGGAAAGAGAGGGAGAGUGAAAAGGGAGAAAGAGAGAUUGUAAUGCUUUUCAAUUUUCAUUUCAAAUCUCUCCCUCGGUUACUAAUCGUACAAUGAAAAGCAUUAGAAGGUAGAGGGUAUACCCUAUACUUUAGACAAACUGUAGCAAUAAAUGCAAGUUGUAGAACUCUUUCAUAUUAAUUUCUAGUAUUUUUUUAAAGAAAUAAAAAUUGUUAUUACAGAUAUAACCAUUUAAAAUCCAAGUGUCAAUAGAAGGGGAUAUCUAUUUUGAUAAUAACACCAACCCCUUCUAUUCUUAAUAAGAUAGUAGAAGUGGUGUUUUUUUAUAAAGGAUCAUCAGAGAUCAACCUCCACAUCCCCAUCCAUUAUCCUUGGAAAAUAGCCAACCUCCCCAUCGUCCCAAAAAACUCUGACCCACUAGUCAAAUCUGGUUGUCAAACCAGAUUCCUUUUUCAACCACUUCCCCCUUUUUGUUCUUUAUCUUAUUAAUAAUUUUAAAUUAUUUUCGAAAUAAAUAAGAAAAUGCUUUUUCUUCUAUACAAUUUUUGGUUCUAAAAAAAACUAUUGUCGGACUUUUUAUGGGCCGAACAAAAGUAGGUAUUUAAAAUUUCUCCUAUUUACUUGUUAUUCACCUGAUAGCAAGUAAAUUGUGGUUUGAGAGAUAUCAUAAUGAGUAACUAAUAAAGAAGUGAAUGUUAAUUUUGUCAAGGCCCAUAAAAACUUACCUGACAACUUCUCAUAGCCUAAUAGUAUUUAUCAUCUUUUCUGAUUUGAGUCAUCUUCAAAACGAUUCGAGUGUGUUCUUGUUAUGCAUGACAAAAAGCUAGAGUGAACCCAAGACGCUAGUAGGUAUACUUCUAGAACUUGGGGUAAAAAGGUGAAACCAAAGACACAUGUUGGUGUACUGCCGGAAUUCGGAGUCAAAAUGUGAAACAAAAGACGCAGGUUGGUGUACUGCCAGAACUUGUAGUGAAAAGGUGAAACCAAAGACGUAGGUUGAUAUACUGCCAUAAUUUGGAGCGAAAAGGUGAAACCAAAUACGCAGGUUGGUGUGCUGCCAGAAUUUGGAGACACAAGGGUAAAAGCUAAGAACGCAGGUUGAUGUACUUCCAGGACUUGGGUUGAAAAGUUGAAAUCAAAGAUGCAGGUUAGUGUGCUGCCAGAAUUUGGAGACACAAGGGUAAAAGUCAAGAACGCUGGUUGGUGUACUGCUAGGACUUGGGUUGAAAAGUUGAAACCAAAGACGCAGGUUUGCGUGCUGCCAUAAUUUGGAGACACAAGGGUAAAAGUCAAGAACGCAGGUUGGUGUACAGCCAGAACUUGAGGUGAAAAGUUAAAACCAAAGACGCAGGUUGGUUUACUGCUAGAAUUUGGAGACACAAGCUAUUUGAAUAUGGAAUGCCAUGCUUUUGUGGUUUCAUUUUUGUAUGAAAUCCAUAUGAUUGUUAUUAAUGCAUGUUAUGAGAUGCUCAUGUCUGGUAAUUCUAUAAUUUUUCAAAUCAAAUUGAGUUGUAAUUGGUAUUCAUCAUUAUCGCUUUACCGCAUCCUCAAUAGUUGAUUGUAGAUUACUAUUUACGGAGAACGAGGUUGUUCGGGCGAUGAUUAACUCUACGUUUCAGUAGAAACAUGCUCUUUUCUUUCAAAUACUAAUUAGGACAUCAUAUUUAAAAUUCAUAAGAUAGUACAAGUUUAAUAAAAAUGAGCUAUACAACCAAAAGACUUUAAUUCAUAUGUGGAUAAGGAAAUACAAACAUGUUUGGCGUUUUGUGUUAUGGGCGGAGUUGCGGGAGUUGGCUAUAAAUAACAAAACAUGUUAGAACACCAUGAUACAAUCAUUGACCAUCCAAAAUUUGCCCCAAUAAAUUUUCUUAAUUUUUGGUCUUCCAAAAUUUGCCCCAAUAUUAACUUAUUGGCUUGUGCUCCUGAGAUACCUUUUCUUUUGUCCCUAAUAGCUUAGACCGCCCUUUCGGAUUUUCGACCUAAACAAGUUUUUUUUCAUUUCUUUAAGAGUGUUUGUGUAUUGAUCACGCUAUGCCUAGAUUUUUUAAGAAAAAAUGAUUUGAAUUAAUUUUGGAGUCAAUCAUUUGGUACCCUUGGUAUGUAUAUCAAACAGUUUGAAUCUCAACAAGGACUUUUUAGGCUAGUAAUGUGGUCUAAUGAGAGGUUUAAAAGGAUAUAAGGCUCAAAUGACGUGUUUCCCGCCCCAUACUUUCUCCAUAUUCUCCAUAAUCUUAUGUCCAACAUCUCCUACAUUUCAACCAUGUAUACGAUUUCCGUUCCUUUUGGAAAAGGAAAGUUUUGUAACCAUUCUAGUUUGAGAUUUUUUUAUUUGCCCUAACAUUUGCCUAAGUUUUUAAUAAAACUCUUAGCAGUCUCUUUUUGUAAUCCAGUUGAUCAAUUUCUAGAUCUUUUGAAGAUUUGUUGAAAAACUACCCUUCCGUGAUGUACUAGUGUUUUUAGAAGGUGUUGUAUUUUUUGAAUAAAUUUCUUUCAUAGUAUCUCAGCUCAAAAGGAGUAACUAGGGAUAUCUUCAUUGGUAUUUGGAAUAACAAAGAAGUCUUAUGUCAUCAACCUGACCUACCUGAGGGUACACACCGUAUGAGAUUUGUUUACAUCAUCCUCCUAAGAGAGUACACGAAAGUAUGCAAAAAUGCGUGAUCAUUGCACAAACCUCUUUUUUUUCUUUUU